RNAcentral lists this ribosomal RNA (478 nucleotides) under uncultured bacterium. RNAcentral describes it as "partial 16S ribosomal RNA". It matches the Rfam family "Bacterial small subunit ribosomal RNA", at positions 28 to 507 of the family's 1533-position model. The record is from RNAcentral.
GAUGAACGCUGGCGGCGUGCCUAACACAUGCAAGUCGAACGGAGUCCAGCCUUUAAGACCUUCGGGUCAAAGAGGGGAAGACUGAGUGGCGGACGGGUGAGUAACACGUGGGCAACCUGGCUCAUAAAGGGGGAUAACAGAGAGAAAUUUCUGCUAAUACCGCAUAAGCACACACUGCCGCAUGGCAGAGGGUGAAAAGAGAAUCGCUAUGAGAUGGACCCGCGUCUGAUUAGCCAGUUGGCAGGGUAAGAGCCUACCAAAGCGACGAUCAGUAGCCGAUCUGAGAGGAUGAACGGCCACAUUGGGACUGAGACACGGCCCAGACUCCUACGGGAGGCAGCAGUGGGGGAUAUUGCACAAUGGGGGGAACCCUGAUGCAGCGACGCCGCGUGAGUGAAGAAGUAUUUCGGUAUGUAAAGCUCUAUCAGCAGGGAAGAUAAUGACAGUACCUGAAUAAGAAGCCCCGGCUAACUACGUG